CCAGACUCUGGUCUGAGUGGUUGACUUGUAUCCCCAAGAUUACUCCUCCUAGCACCAGGUGAGUGGGCUGUCUUUGGGGCUACAUCAAUAUCAGGGGACACUGGGUUGUUCAGCCUGGCUGGCUGAAGCUUCCUGGAAGAAAACAUCUCAUUUUCAGAUUUUGAGAUGCCUUAAAGUCUGGUCUUUAGUCCUUCUGGCUGAAGGAAGUCAAUUUUAAGAGCUGACUGACCAUAGUCUUCUUUCUCAGAUAGUAAGAUGCUUAUGAGAAAGUAAGAAAGUUCAAAAGAAUUCAUUUAGGUUUUGACAAAACCCAUCCUUGCAGGACAGCAACCUCUGCGUUCGUGUGUCACCUCCAAUCUACUGCAGCAGAGGCAGAGCAGCAGGUGGGUGCCCAGGCUUCUGCCAGGUACCCUGGGACAGCACCACUAUCUCAUGCUGUGUCUCUCUCACACCUACUGUACCAGACUGCCAGCUGUGGUGGGUGGCUUUAAAGAUAGAGCUCAGAAUACAGGCUCUCAUCUUGGGAUUGACCUGCAGAGAAAUGGGUGGAGAGGGAUUCUCCAAAGGGAUGUUUGGAAAGUAAACCUACUCUGUGGAGGGGCUGGAAACGUGUGUUACCUCUGUGGCUGAUGCUGAAACCCUCUGCUUGCUGCCAGGAGCUGAACCUCCAGGUAUGACCAGAUGUAGCUGGAUGACUAGAGUAAAAAUGGCAUCAGCAAUGUCAGCUGAUGAGAUUUGAGAAGUAACCACUUCCAGUGACCUCUGGGCCAUAGCAGCAUGCAUGAACAGAGUGCCUCAAACAGUUUGUGUGGGAAGCCACUCAUAGCGUAUCUAUGGGCUGUUUAAAUGGAUGGAAAUUGCAUCAUACGCAUCAGACAGAUGUCUGAGAAACCCGAAAAGGGGGAUGCAUGUCUGCAGCAGAGAGAAUGCUUUUCUUUUCUCCUUGGGUACCACUGUGUGCCAGCACCAGCAGGCAAGCUCGUGGGUCAGGCCCUGCUGCACAGGCUCCAGAGGCAGCAAGAACCUGCUGAAAAAAACAAAUCUUAAUGCCGAAAUACUCCUUAGUACUUUUCUCAUGUUCCUUUCACAAAGGCUGUGGAAAGCUUGGGGUAUUUUCCUAACUCACACCCCAACACAAAACUCUCAUUUAUCAAGUAUUUAUCUGCUGUGCUGUAACUUGCUGCUGUCAUUAAAUAAUGCAUCUGAAAUGCAGGCUUGAGCGGAUCACUCUGCUGAGAGCGCUGUGCUUUUGAAAUGUGAUGGAGCUCAUCUGCCUGUCCUGGACCAAAGAGGCAGACAAGGCUGGGCUGGUUUGGGCACGGCUGCAGGUUUGUCCUCACUGUUCCUUGCUCAGGGAUAUCACUUCACAAACAGUAAAUAGGCUUCCAGUUUUUAUUUCCAAGUUUAGAUAAAAUGAUCUGUAUUUUCAUUUUCUUUUAGAAAGAAAGCAGGCUGGAGAAGCAUCCCAGAAUGGCCAGAAGCUCAUUAUAAGCUUUUUCUCUCAGAUUCAGUCCCAUUCCCAACAUUUUCCAGUUUGUUGAAGCCAAUAUAUUUGUUUUCAGCAAAUGAAUGCUUUAUGAUGACAACCCCUCUCGUGGGGAAGAUGCCUGCUGGUACCUCCUGGGGCUCAGAAGGGAAGCCUGGGAACCAUUGUUGGUUUUGAGUCCAAAACAGUGCAUUCCUGUGGUGGUAAAAUUACUUCUGUUUUAUUCUUUAUGGAUAUCAAAAUACUGAGUUCAGAGCUUCAUUUAAAACAAUAGCAUUUUGUGCAAGUAAAUCAUCUUGCUUAUGUGCAGUCUUUCUACUUACAAAGUCCAUAUUGAUUCUCCUGUCCCACUGAACAGCCCUGCUCUGCCUAAAGACCACUCAGGCCUGCUCAGGAUAGAUGCGAUUUAUCAACAUACUUCUCCAGCCAUAGCUGUAGUGUUUACACACAGUUCAAACAUUCAGAUGUGGCCCCUUCUCCUCAGAUGGAUGAUGUGGAAAUUAUUUUCUGUUCUGAACUAAUUCUUCCUGUUGGCACCUACAGCAUUUUUUGUUCAUGUACUUAUUGAUUGAUUAGUCCGGCCUCAACAGUUCUAUGCGACCCUUCAGUCUUGCUGUUAACCUAUGCCUGUGCCCAUUCCAGACCACAUCAUUCAGUACCACCUCUGCCCUUUCCCUGAGCACCUCCAGGAAUGCUGACCCCACCACCUCCCUGGGCAGCCUGUUCCAAUGCAUCACUUGUGUCUGUACUCAGUGCAGCAGGCUCUGAGCUCUGUGAGAUGCUGCUGUACAAACAGCAUGGGUGUGUUGUCUGUGAUGUAGCUACUUGGGAUUGUUGCAGGACCCCACCAUGAGCAAGACAGCUGCAGGCAUUUUCUCUUGUCCUUUUCUCUUGUCCUUGUGAGAGGCAGGGCAGGUUGUCCCUGGUGUUGCAGCGAGGGGCAGGGACCUCCCUACAGCCCUGGGCUCUGCAGGUGAGCAGGGGAUGAACAUGAGGAACGCUGCAGGCAGACCCUUCCCAGCUGCUCCCUUCCCACCAGGCAGGGCUCCUCAUGGACAGCCUGGGCCCACUCAGCCAUGCAGGCAGCUCCCUGGGCCUGUGCUGCAGCUCUGCUCAGCUUUAUUUUUGUUCUUCUUCCAGUAUUUGCAGUACCCAUUUACUCCUGAGGCAUGCGAGUCUGACUAAUCCUUCAGGGGUGUCUCAGGGGAGGACCAUCCUACAGAAAAGCAUGUCUCCCUGCAGUGUGAACUCCCACCGGGUGCAUCUGGCUCUGGGACAAGGCUCAUGCAGUGCUGGGGAAGACCCAAUAUCGUAUAAUUUAGAUGCUUUCCACUCUUCCUUCCAGAAGUUGGCAAACUGCUUACCUGCCUCUAAAGCAUCCCUGUUGUUGUGACUCUGUGUCCAUCUCAGCCUCCUGUCACCAGCCUGAAAGACUGAGCUUUUUGCUGCAUGCUUCAGCAGUAGCGCCUGCAGAGGUGUAACAGAUGCAGUAAGAAUUGCACCUGCUUCCACUGCUAUCAGAAGUCAAACAGCUGAUUGUUACCUCUCCAGGGGCAUUGGUGAGCUUCAGUCGUUGCUCUCCUAUUUCAAAAUCCCACCUUUAAAAAGAAAAAUAAGACACAAAAAAAUGUGGAGCCUGGAAAGAAGCUCAAACUUUCUGUCCCCAUCUUUCUGCUUUUUUUUCUUCCUGUGGAAUAGCAUGGAAAAGUCACCAUCACUGAGAUCUCAGAUAUCUCAGCAGUGUUACAGUGAGGGCCAGAGGAUGAGUUUGAGUGGGCUUUUGUACUUAAAGUUCUAUUGGAUGAAUGUGGAUCUGGAUGUUUAGCAUCCGGGGGGGUGCAUGGCUGCUUAGGUCAGCCCAGACGCUCGUGGGAGUCAUGGGAGUGAACAACCAGCACUUCAUCUGCAGGACCUGCCCCUGCCCUGCAGGACUGUGCUGGAGCCCCACCUCCAGUUCCAUUGCUACUGGAGCCAUUCACCCCAGGGAAAGCCCAGGGCGGGCCCUGGACAGGCACAAUUCAAUGGGAAAGGAAGCAGUACAAACAAGAAGACUGUGUUCUUGGCAGCAGCUGCCUGGAAGAUGGCUGGGACGUGCAGCUAAAUAUCUGGCAGAGAAGAGGGCAUCAAAAACCAACAGGAGAGAAUAAAUGAUGUUCCAGCGGGAUGCUAGAAGUGCCACCCUAGCACAGCCCCGUUCCUGCUUACAGAUGCUUGUGAGCUGCUCCCACCCACGGCACAGGUGAGAGUACGUGCUGUGAGAGGCCAGCCUGCACGCGUGGUGGGAAACUGCACAGCAUGCCACGGCCCAAGCCCUGUUCAGAUAGGGACAACCGCAGCAGGCAGUUGUCCAGGCAGCUUGUGAAACCAGCACCGCAGCAGUUCAGGUCCUUUCCUCCUUUGGAGAGCCUCUCUAUGUUUUUAGGUAGGCUGGAAGGUGUACAAGUUACAGGUGUGCCUGCGAUGUGCUGCAUGGAGAGCAUUCCAGAAAUCCUGCACCAGAGAUUGCGAGCAGAGUGAUUAUCCAUUACUAACUGUAGAGCCUUGAGUUAAGCACGUUCUCCACUUAGGAUCUUCCCAGGGAAAAUAAAGUUUCUGAGACUGAAAAGCAAUGCGUUUAGCAGUCGGAUAGUGAAGGAAGGUGGUAGAUGUCUUUGUGACAGCGUCAGCUAUUUCAGAUAGCUUUAUGUCUGCCUGCUGUCUGCUGGAUGAAACCAUAGACAGUGCGAUAGCAGCUCUGUCUGCAGUUACCACAUUUAGGCUGGAAAAAAAAAUAACCUUUUUGACAUCUAUUGGGUCCGCAGCGUAGAUGGGCCAUUAACCUUGUGCACGCUCCUCAUCCCCUAUAGAUAAUAAUAUUUGACUAAGUCGCAGCAUUGCAGUUAAGCGAUGGCUGUACUUUGCACUGAGCUUCCUGCUCUGGCAUAUCCUCACGAGAAGCGAUUUAGGAUAACAAAGCAGCACGACUUGUUCUUCUGAGUGCACGGGAACAGAACGACAUGGGGGCUGGAACUGGAAGGGAAACGCUCUCCAGGUUUCAAGUUUUCACAUUCCUUGUGAAAAUGGUGGUUUAAAAGACGUGGUAUUCUUCUGCCUAGGCGGCAAAGAGGACCCCUUAGUAAGUAAAACAAAAGGACUAUGGCCUCAUCAGAAGUGUUGUUCUGGCUGACAGUAUAGGAUAGCUUAAGGGAAAAGAAUAUAAGAAAUAUUGCACCAGCGGUUAAUUCGCUCUAUUUCCAACAAUUCAGCUAAGACAAGAGAAAGCAAAUAUAUGGGUCUAAAGAUGGUUGCUAUAGAAACUAGAGGAGAUUCUAUAGUUGCUUCUGAAAGUUACAGAGGCUCUGAUUGAUAAGACAGUUGUAUUCAAAGAGUCACUAUGGAAACCCAAGGUGACCUGGAGGAGAUGUGACUCCUCCGCUCUGCUCCUGGGGGCAGAUGAAGACAGGCAGGAGGAAGGUCUGUGUUGGUGAUAAAGCACACCACGGUGUGGUGUCACACAGAGCUCACUGCGAUGCUAGAGAUGCUCAGCAUCUCACGUUUCAAACCUGUGAGAGCGCUGAUCUCUGUAGAGGUGAACCGUAGUCAUUUACUUUCCCUCUGAAGGGUUUUCUUCUCAUUGAAAUCAAUAGGAGCUCUGCUAUUGACUUCCCGAGAGCAAAGGAGAUUUUAGAAGCCUUCCUGUGACUUCAAUCUAUCAAAGCAAGGGAGCACAUUUGCAUGUCUCCCACCGAGCUCAGUGUUUAGCAGCUGCUUCUGCUUUGCAGAAAUGGGGCCAUGGAGCUGCUGAGCACUUCGGGCUUUCACUAACAAGAGCUGUGCCUGCACCACGGCCCCAGGAACUGGAAAGAAAGCAAACUGAACGUGCAAGUUUUGUUCUUGCAGAUUGGUUAUGAGAGGAAUUCUCUGGUUCCUCAGCCCCAGCCUGGAUGUACGCAUCUAAAUCAUUUAGAAAACUGUUUGAUUCACGCUGUUCCCGACGUCACCCACAUGCGAACAAAUCAUACAGUUAUUCAUCAGUCUGAGAUCUUUGUCUUGCAUGAUUUCCAGUGAGAUAAAAAGAACCAGUUGGCAGUUUGAGAAAAAAAAAAACUCCUACAUUUCUGUGAUUUCUCCAAGUUUCCAGUGCCAGCGUGCAGUCAGGAGGAAAUAAAGUGGCUGGAGAACGGCCGAGGAUGCAGGUCUGGCUGACAGGAGCAGGGCACACAGCAGCACAGGUUCCUCACAACCCUUUUAGCUGGGUUAGCUGCCAGCAUUGGCCAGAGCAGUCAGUAAACCAGUCCGGUACAACAGUGCUAAUGCCCUCUCAACUCAGCCUCGAUGUGUUUCUAAAAUCCCCUUCUCCCUUGUAGAGAACCCAGCUGUGCUCGUACUGUGUGGAAUCCUUCAAACAGCAAAAAAAAGAAAAAGAAAAAGAAAAAAAAGAACACGACAAAGUGAAUGCUGCUUCUGCUUCCACCAUCAAAGGACACUUUCAGACUUCAGGCUACUGCCACUGCUGCUGGUGGAGCCGCAGCAGCACGGAAUGGCUGCAGGCCUGGAAACAGGGAGGGUAGAUUGGAUGCACGUUAUCUUGAGCAAAGGUCCUGCUGCUUUUAAAGAUUAGCAGAAUUGUUACCUAUUACUAAAGCUGUCGAGUCAUGGCUGGAGGUGGAAAUCACUGCUCUAAUGGAGUCAUAAUAAUUCCACUACAAAGAAGGAGAGAAAGAGAAGGAAAUUUAAUAAAAGAUGUGCUCACAGGAAGAUGCAGUCUCCGGAGCUAUUUUCUGUUCUGUUUUUGUGUCUGUUGAAAGGAAACACAGAGAUGAAUAAAUAAGAACAAGUUAAGCUCUUUCAAUGGGCACAGACAAUGUAAAUGUGUGACAGAGCCUUUCAUCCUCAGCACUCCUGCCCACAUUCCUGCUUCUCAAAUGGCAGUGCAGCUCAGAAAUACAUUUUAUGUUUAUUUUUUACCCAUAUAACUCAAACUCCACUCACUUCCCAGUAAGAAGUCGCAACAGAAGAGAGAACAGUGCCCUCAAGAUGACCCCUUGGCAGAUUUUCAACCUUAGGUAGCUGUUUCUAUGUUCUGGGAAAACAGAGCAGCAAAUGAG
RNAcentral lists this long non-coding RNA (6573 nucleotides) under Gallus gallus (chicken). Its description in RNAcentral is "lncRNA (ENSGALG00010007389.1)". The record is from RNAcentral. Lineage: Eukaryota; Metazoa; Chordata; Aves; Galliformes; Phasianidae.